This 495-nucleotide ribosomal RNA is filed under the name uncultured bacterium. RNAcentral's name for it is "partial 16S ribosomal RNA". It matches the Rfam family "Bacterial small subunit ribosomal RNA", at positions 28 to 523 of the family's 1533-position model. The record is from RNAcentral.
GAUGAACGCUAGCGGGAGGCCUAACACAUGCAAGCCGAGCGGUAUUGUUUCUUCGGAAAUGAGAGAGCGGCGUACGGGUGCGUAACACGUGUGCAACCUGCCUUUAUCUGGGGGAUAGCCUUUCGAAAGGAAGAUUAAUACUCCAUAAUAUAUUGAACGGCAUCGUUUAAUAUUGAAAGCUCCGGCGGAUAGAGAUGGGCACGCGCAAGAUUAGCUAGUUGGUAAGGUAACGGCUCACCAAGGCGAUGAUCUUUAGGGGGCCUGAGAGGGUGAUCCCCCACACUGGUACUGAGACACGGACCAGACUCCUACGGGAGGCAGCAGUGAGGAAUAUUGGUCAAUGGGUGCAAGCCUGAACCAGCCAUCCCGCGUGAAGGACGACUGCCCUAUGGGUUGUAAACUUCUUUUGUAUAGGGAUAAACCUACCCUCGUGGGGGUAGCUGAAGGUACUAUACGAAUAAGCACCGGCUAACUCCGUGCCAGCAGCCGCAGUAA